UAGGCGAUGCAUAUUUGGAAAUUAUUUUUUGUCAUGCAUUUGUGUUGCUUGUUGCUACACUUGGGACUUCGAUUUUUUUUUUGUUUCAGUUUCGGUAUACCAAGAUGGCCGGAGGAACAAUUUUCCUGUGUGGUUGUGAAUAUUAAGUUUUUCUCCUUGAUCGGGCAGUUGGAAAUAAAUUAAAAUAGCGUUGAUUGAAGUAAUACAGUCCUGUGGUAGUGACCAAAACGUAUUAGAAACGCCGGAAACAUCUUUCGCCGUCCGGAAUGGCGAUUUAUUGACCGACCCAAAAAGUGAGAUUCCUCCAGGAGGACGGUGAGAUUAAAGCGCCGACGUAUGGAUAGUUUCCACCCAGCAUCCGGCAAAAUUCCCAUGAGGCAGGGGAUCUUAAAAUGGACACCAAACAAGAUGAACCAAACG
RNAcentral lists this long non-coding RNA (420 nucleotides) under Aedes aegypti (yellow fever mosquito). RNAcentral's name for it is "lncRNA AAEL021497". Lineage: Eukaryota; Metazoa; Arthropoda; Insecta; Diptera; Culicidae. The record is from RNAcentral.